UAAUACGGAGGAUGCGAGCGUUAUCCGGAUUCAUUGGGUUUAAAGGGUGCGUAGGCGGUUUUUUAAGUCAGUGGUGAAAUCCUGCGGCUCAACCGUAGAACUGCCAUUGAAACUGAAGAACUUGAAUAUAGUUGAGGUAGGCGGAAUGUGCAGUGUAGCGGUGAAAUGCUUAGAUAUUGCACAGAACACCGAUUGCGAAGGCAGCUUACCAAGCUAUUAUUGACGCUGAGGCACGAAAGCGUGGGGAUCGAACAGG
Molecule: ribosomal RNA, 256 nt
Filed under: uncultured bacterium
Lineage: Bacteria
Description: partial 16S ribosomal RNA
Rfam family: Bacterial small subunit ribosomal RNA
Source: RNAcentral